RNAcentral lists this unclassified non-coding RNA (200 nucleotides) under Scytalidium sp. Its description in RNAcentral is "partial internal transcribed spacer 2". The record is from RNAcentral. Lineage: Eukaryota; Fungi; Ascomycota; Leotiomycetes.
UUAAGUUCAGCGGGUAUUCCUACCUGAUCCGAGGUCAACCUAGUAAAAAAGUUGGGGGUUUAACGGCUUGGCCGCGCCGCGCUCCGCCUGCGAGAACAAGUGCUACUGCGCAGAGGAGGCUACAGCGAGACCGCCAAUCGUUUUAGGGGACGUCCACCGUGGCGGCGGGCGAUCCCCAACACCGGCAGCCCCCGCAAAGG